Long non-coding RNA from Brassica napus (rape), 6878 nucleotides. RefSeq lists it as uncharacterized. NCBI's taxonomy places the organism in Eukaryota, Viridiplantae, Streptophyta, Magnoliopsida, Brassicales, Brassicaceae. The record is from RefSeq and is a predicted model, not a curated record. The transcript is spliced from 2 exons.
UGAGAAAAAUAUUUAUACAAAUUCUUAAAGAAUGUUUCAAACCCCCUUAAUAUCAGGUCGGCUCUGGUGCCAAUAUACAAAAAUAGAAUAAUGUCUUUACUCGUUAUGGACCGAUAUAAUAUUGUAAUGAACAUAUAUACCACUUACAAUAAAUAGGCAUAUAUUUAUGUAAGCACAAACUCAACAUGUUAUAGAGAUGUAUGAGUGUGUAUGUGCCUAUAUAAAAUAUAUUCGUACAUACUUUUUUGUAGCGAAUAUGUUUGAGAAAAUUGUAGCUGCUUCUCAAUAAUAUUCGUCUACGCAAUACUAUAAUCAAUCCAUAUCAUCUUCAAUUUUUUUUUAAUUUUCAAUGUUAAGUAAUUAAAUUAGAAUAUUAUUUACACAUGUGUACUAAUUGUUUUUUAUUAGUUUAAAUUAUCACAGUUUUAUUAAAAUAUCUACAAUGUUUAUAUAGUGUAUCCAUAUUUUUUAGGAAUAGUAUCAUAUGUAGCAAAUACUAUUGUGAAGUAAAAUAAAACCAAAUAUUCAAUUUUUUGGUUUAAAACCUUAAUUUCCAAUAUUAAAUUGUAUAGUUAUAAAAAAUUGCAGAGUAACAAAUUCAAGUGACAUAUACGUGUAACAAUACAAAAAUAAACAAAUUUAAGUUAUAAAAUUUUAGACUAAAUUUCAAAUUAAUUUUUUAUUAGGUUAUAUAUUUUUAAUUAUACAAAAUAUAUCUUCACAUGAAUAAAUCGAAUCCAGUGUUGACCAAAAUUUAAGAGGUAUUUUUUUCUAACUAGUUUAUGAGGAUGUUUUUAAUACUUGUAUUUAUUUUAAAUAAAAUUGCAUACAAAUGUUUAGAAAUUUUCUGUAAUGAAUAUUGGAUAAUUUAUAUACUUCCAAAUUUUGGAAUUUGAAGAAAAUGUUUUUAUUCACCAUUUUUUGUUUACAAUCAUUGAAUUUGUUUUUAAGAACAAUUAGAUUAUUACAAUGGUCUUUGAAAUUAUUUUCUCCUUUUAUACUUUCUGACUUGAUAUACUGGGUAAUGUACAUGAUUUCUGUUAACUUGAAGAAAGAAAUGGAGCCAAAGGAGUGGUUUGGAAGAGUUUGGGUCUUGGUCAAAGAUAAGGCAAGAUCUUCAGAGAUUGUAUAUCAAGGCUUCAUGAGGGUUUAAAGAAGUCUAGAAGUGUCAUGAAGGCUAUGCAAAGAUAGGGAUUAAGUCCAGGAAGGGCUUAGACAUCAUUUGGAGUAAGAUAGGCAAUAGUGCAAAGAUAGGGCGUCCCGGAGAAACGGACAGUACGGACGGUGCAAUCUUAGGGCGACCCAAGAUCAGAUAGGAUCGACCAUUGGAGAAGUCUGAACGUGAGGUGCAAAGUUAGGGCGAGGUACGGACCCGUACCAACGACCGUACAAAGCAAGUGGCCGUACCAGACUUACCCGGAUCGACCAGAAUAGGAGUUCGGUUCAGUUAGGGCACAAGGAAGCUUAGGGCGUGAUCUUGUGACCGUUGGAGAAGCAAGUGGGCGUGAGACAGCUUGUGACAGGCUGGCCAAAAGGUAAAGCAAAAGGUAAAGCACAUUUUGGAGCAGGACCACACAUGAAGACAAUCUUGGUUGUCCAAUUCAAACUGAGCAAAUCUAGCCAUUGAUUCUUUAUCCUAUCUUCUCCACUUUACAGCUUGCACAAGACCACUCCAAGACCAGAUCCUGAUCGUCCAUCUUCAAGUCCUUUAUCAGCCAUUAGACUUAGGUUAUGAUAUUGCAAAUGUAAAACUCAUAUAUAAGCCUUAGAUGGCGAUUUGUAAUGACUAAGGGAGUAAGGGGGAAUUCUCCUCUCCACUUCAUGAAUAAUAAACUUGUUCUUGAAUCUGAAACCUUAAUCUCUAAUCUCUUAUUUUCCUAAUCUCUUAGUCUCUUAAUCUCUGUUCCUAAGUCUCUUAUUCUCUCAUAAACACUCUCAUCAAUCUCUCUUUCUAAAUCACCUAGAACAAGCUCUCAUCUUUCUUCAUUGGAGUUUAUACACACACACAUACAACCAGAGAAGAGAACUCUACAAAUCUCAUAUGGUAUCAGAGCUAGGUUCAUCAAAACCUGAGCUGUAGUUUCCGUAAAGCACUUUCUCCCAUCUCAGCUCAAACCAAAGCCUAGAAGACAUGUUCAUCCGAGCUCAGAUUCUUCAAGAAGAAGAAGUGUGAAGCCGUGAAGUGUUCUCCUUGUCUCUCUGUCUCUACUGUCCGUUCCUGAUGGUGCUUCUCCUUGGAAACAAUGGUGUAUGGAGAGGCGUGGAAAUCCUGCUUCAAAUCGCCUUGUUCAAGAAGUGUUCUCUCAUCCAGUCUCAAAAUGGUGUCCAAGAAGAGGGCGCCUAGAAGACAUGAAACAAGGAGGGGCCUUUGAGUAUUAGAUACAAGAUGGUGGCCAUGAACUGAAGGAGAAGGAGGUGGGUGAUGAUCCAGACUCUCAGAUCCAACAAAAAUCAUGGCCGGUUUCACAAAAUGCAAAAGGAAUCAACCUGGUUCCUUGUUGUAAGUGAUUCUAUAAACCACCUUGAUAAUGAGCUUGUGUUGUUGACUGGUUGUGAUGUUGUGAUGUGAUUGAAAACCUGAGAAUUGUUUAAAAGAUUGCUGAAUGAAAUAAAAUGAAUUUAGAAUCUGUCCCAGGAUACUAAAAGAGCUUUGUUUCUAGUAAUCUCAGUCCUUGAUGGUUCAUCGGGUUUCCUAGUAAUCCAAAAAUCUUACUAGUUAUACUAGGCUUACUAGCAGCAAUGUAAGUGCUUUAAAAUUUCUAGUAACUUAUCAGUAUUACUAGGAUUACUAGAUAUGUUAAUAUGCUUAGCUCCGGUUCAUAAUGAUGCUUGUUGUGAUUGAUUGAGUCUGCUUGCAUACAUGGAUUGAAACCGAAUUGAAAGUUGUUGCAUAUAGUCUUGUGGCUGUCUUACAUUGAAUCAUUAGAUUCAUGUCUAAAUUGCUGAGUAAAGAAGCUUUAAAAAUGCCUAAGUAGCUUGCAUAAAUCUGGAAAAGAAAGUGUCUGUGCUUAGAGAGGUUGCUUGCAAAGAUAGAACUUGAAAAUGACUUGUUUUAAUCUGUAGCAAUGCUUGUGAGACUGGGAAUCAAACUUGAUGAUUAAUCAAGGAUUGAUCCCAAUACUCUUGUGUCUUAUCUUUGCUGGAGUUUGAGUGGUGUUUCAGGUUCACAAGAAGUGUUCUUUGCUCACCACCUAUCCAAGACAAGAGGAAGACUUGAUCCAUUGUGUGGAGCAAUGGGAAGAUACUUGUGUGUAGAAGCCGGUUUAAGAAGCGCAGGCCACGAGGUUGUUGAGCUCCUGGUUCAAGACACACAAGAGGAAGACUUGAUCCAUUGUGUGGAGCAAUGGGAAGGUGCUUGUGUGUAGAAGCUGGUUUAAGAAGCGCAGGCCACGAGUUUGUUAAGCUCCUGGUUCAAGGACACACAAGAAGAAGAAGGUCACCACCUAAGUCAUGAGGAAGGCCGGUGAUCUGAUGAUACUUGAAGCUGAAGGCAAAAGGGUGGAUCAGUGAUUUAAGCGCAGCUGUUAGGGUGGUGUGCUCCUGGUCUUGAAGUUCAUUGAGGCUCAUUUCAAGCUUGAACCUAUACUCAAUUCAAGCUUGCGGUGGGGAUUCAAAUGAGCAACCUGAAGAGCCAAAGUUCAAGACCUGUUUCCUCCUUAUCAUUACAAGAGAAUGAUAAGAUGAAGCCUAUUGCCAGCAUUCUGUGGAGAAGUCCACAGCCUGCUCCAAAGAGGGUAGAGAGGAUGUUGUAACAAUGGAGAGAUGAAGCCUAUUGCCAACAUUCUGUGGAGAAGUCCGCAGCCUGCUCUAAAGAGGGUAGAGAGGAUGUUGUGACAAUGGAGAGGUGACUUGCGGUUCUGUACAUGGUGGUUUAGUCACCAUAGCCUACACAUCAGAUGAGUGUAGAGAGGACAAUAGACAUGCAAGGAAGAGCAUCACCAGGAGGGUGAUGCAAUUAAGACCAAGACCAUUGCAUCAUGGAGAAGUGGGGCUGUAAGCAUCAAGUCUGAAGAAGAUGGAGGUGUUCCCACAAGAAUGAUCAUAGAGCUUAGUAUGCGCUCACCUUCAAGCUUGGACCUUCCCUAUACUCGGUCUCAAGCUUGAGGGAGAGUGUUGGUGAGCUUGCAUGAUAAGAGAAGGAUCUGAUAAGCUUAGCAAGUGAGGGACUCAAGUGGUGUGUGAAGAGCAGCCACUCCUCACCAAAGCAAAAGGAGCUAGGCAUGUCUUACCUGAUGGAGAUGGCAAGAAGCCACGAGAGAAGGGAAGACUCAGGCCGGUCCAGUCACUCCUCACCAAAACAAAAGGGAAGUUUCCCCGUACUCAAUUUCAAUUCAUCAUUUUCAAUCGUAUCUAGUAAUUUGUUAGGAAUACUAGUUUUACUAGACGACAACAUAUCUAGUAAUCUAUAAGGAAUACUAGUCUUACUAAGACGGUCUAUAAGCAUGAAUUGAUUGAGUUAUGUUACUUGAUAAGUACUGAUACACUUGUGGAAUAAUGUAUCAGGUACCUUACUUGGAGACUCAAUGGAGAGGAUCAGGUCACUCCUAGCCUUUCAAGUAGGCAUGAAGUCCGGAGACACUAAACCGGUUCUAUAGAAGAGUCCAAGAAGGUGUGGUGUAAAGUGUGCACAAGCCUUGAAGUGUUGCUGCACCUGUUUAGGCCGUGAUCCAGAGCUUCUUGUGUCAAACCACACUGGUUCUAAGGCACAAGAGCUCACUGGCCAAUCCCUAGGCCUUGGAGACUUUACUUUUUUUCCCUCAUCAAGGUUUUGUCCCAAAGGGUUUUCCUUAGUGAGGUUUUUAAUGAGGAAGUUCUUCAAGGUUCCAAGCUUGACUUAGGAUCAGCUAAAGUCAAGCUUGAGGAGGAGUGUUAACUUGAAGAAAGAAAUGGAGCCAAAGGAGUGGUUUGGAGGAGUUUGGGUCUUGGGCAAAGAUAAGGCAAGAUCAUCAGAUAUUGUCUAUCAAGGCUUCAUGAGGGUUUAAAGAAGUCUAGAAGUGUCAUGAAGGCUGUGCAAAGAUAGGGAUUAAGUCCAGGAAGGGCUUAGACAUCAUUUGGAGUAAGAUAGGCAAUAGUGCAAAGAUAGGGCGUCCCGGAGAUACGGACGGUGCAAUCUUAGGGCGACCCAAGAUCAGAUAGGAUCGACCAUUGGAGAAGUCUGAACGCGAGGUGCAAAGUUAGGGCGAGGUACGGACGGCCUGUCCGUACCAACAACCGUACAAAGCAAGUGGCCGUACCAGACUUACCCGGAUCGACCAGAAUUGGAGUUUGGUUCAGUUAGGGACAAGGAAGCUUAGGGCGUGAUCUUGUGACCGUUGGAGAAGCAAGUGGGCGUGAGACAGCUUGUGACAGGCUGGCCAAAAGGUAAAGCAAAAGGUAAAGCACCUUUUGGAGCAGGACCACACAUGAAGACAAUCUUGGCUGUCCAAUUCAAACUGAGCAAAUCCAGCCAUUGAUUCCUUAUCCUAUCUUCUCCACUUUACAGCUUGCACAAGACCACUCCAAGACCAGAUCCUGAUCGUCCAUCUUCAAGUCCUUUAUCAGCCAUUAGAUUUAGGUUAUGAGAUUGCAAAUGUAAAACUCAUAUAAUAGAUGGCGAUUUGUAAUGACUAAGGGAGUAAGGGGAGGGAGUAAGGGGGAGUUUCCCUCUUCACUUCAUGAAUGAUAAAUUUGUUCUUGAAUCUGAAACCCUAAUCUCUAAUCUCUUAAUCUCUUAUUCUCCUAAUCUCUCUGUCUCUUAAUAUUUGUUCCUAAGUCUCUUAUUCUCUCAUAAACACUCUCAUCAAUCUCUCUUUCUAAGUCUAGUACAAGCUCUCAUCUUUCUCCAUUGGAGUUUAUACACACACAACCAGAGAAGAGAACUCUACAAAUCUCAUAAUUUCAGCGUUGGUUAAAGAGUUUUGAAGUUUUUUUUUAGAGAAAACAGUUUUGUAGUUGGGAGGAAUGUCAGGCUCGUGCAUUGAUGAGUUAAAAGACGUUAAUCACAACAUUAGAUAGAAGCAAACAUGCUCACUUAGGAAGGAUGGUUCCCGGAUGGAGAAGAGCUUGAGCUUGGUCAUGAAGCAAGAGGUGAACUUUAGUAAUAGCUUCAGAAAUGCAAUUACUUCAGCAAAGGUAGAGCAGCAACUGUUAAGUUCUUGCCUCUGGAUUGGGUUUAGUUUGCUCAUUUCUCACUUUUGGCCUCUCAUAUCUUUAUGUUUGUAAGUAUGUUGUGGCAGUACGUUGCGUCGUUGGCGAGAGCCCUCCCCUAUUGCCAUGUAAAGCACGUGAUACAUAUAUAAAGCUGGAAAUUCUAUUAACCGGUGAUCAUGUAACAAUUUUAAUCUUGCUCCACGAACGACAUAUGACUGAAAUUUGGCUUACAUAUUUGUGUAUUCUCUUUUCCAGCAAUAGAACCAUACACAUCCAUUCUUAUUUACAAAAGGGCUACAUGUUUUCAAUCGUAAGAGUUAACAACACACAUUCAUCAAUGCUGGUUCCAGCCGCAACUAAUUUCUGCUCUCAACAAUUUAGCUUCAUUUGUUUCUUUACAGACAACCUCCCUGGAGUUUGACCAAGCCGUUAUCAUAUCCACGAUUUGAUGGCCAUAAGCAAAGAAUAUUAGGACGGCAAUUAGCAACCUUGCACAAAAGAAAUUGUGUUAUAACCAACAGAAAGGUCGAGACAAACAUGUGCUUAGGUAUAGAUGUCAUUCAACGGCUCAAGAUUCUUAUUGCAGCCAUAACAAAGAAAAAAGAACCUGCAGUGAAAGGACGUGAACAAAUUGCUGCAUCACAAAAUGUAGCUGAUGACCCUUCUUAAAUGUCAAAUACCUUGGAAAAAUAUACCCAUUUAUAUCAUGGAAAAUCGACAAUAAUAAUUUAUUUUGAAAUCAGAAGACA